GACAACCCACUGAAUGGUAGAAGAUAUUUGCAACUAACAUGUCUGUUUCACUCCUUCAGAAUCUUCUCUGUACCCCCAAAGGCUGACAUCUAGGGGUUGCCUCAAGAGAUGACCUGUCCUCUGACUACUGGAUGGAAGUCCAAUAGGAAGCUUCUGCAAUAGGAGGUUUAAGCAGAAAUCUUCUAACUCUCCUGCCUUCUUGCAAAUUCGUCUUAUCUCUGGAAAGAGAAAGUGGGAGAAUCCCAGGUUGGAAUACAGACUGUGAUGAAAGAAUCCGACUGUAUUAUAAGCGUAUGAAUAAAACUUCAAAGAAGGACAUAGAGAGGAAAGGUGCUAUGUAAAGAGCUGGAAAUGAGUGGAGCCUAUAAUACUUAAGGAUACAGUAAGUCAGGAGACUAAACCCAGAAGAGGUUCCUCACCAGAACCCAAUCAUGGUGGUACCCUGAUCUUAGACUUCCAGACUUGA
Molecule: long non-coding RNA, 466 nt
Organism: Prionailurus viverrinus (fishing cat)
Lineage: Eukaryota; Metazoa; Chordata; Mammalia; Carnivora; Felidae
Exons: 5
Source: RefSeq, a predicted model, not a curated record